GUGAGGCAAUUCCAGCCGCUCAGCCGACGGGCAGGCUCACCCGUCGGCUGAGCGGCUGCAAUUGCCUCAC
MicroRNA precursor from Gallus gallus (chicken), 70 nucleotides. NCBI's taxonomy places the organism in Eukaryota, Metazoa, Chordata, Aves, Galliformes, Phasianidae. The record is from Ensembl.